RNAcentral lists this transfer RNA (79 nucleotides) under Frigidibacter albus. RNAcentral's name for it is "tRNA-Phe". Lineage: Bacteria; Pseudomonadati; Pseudomonadota; Alphaproteobacteria; Rhodobacterales; Paracoccaceae. The record is from RNAcentral.
GGUGUCGUUGGUCAGGUAGACCGUCUCGUUGAAGGCGUGGUAGAGACGCGAGGAGGCGAUCAUCGCCGCUUCGGUGUCU